AACGAACGCUGGCGGCAUGCCUAACACAUGCAAGUCGAACGAGACCUUCGGGUCUAGUGGCGCACGGGUGCGUAACGCGUGGGAACCUGCCCUUAGGUUCGGAAUAACUCCCCGAAAGGGGUGCUGAUACCGGAUAAUGUCUUCGGACCAAAGAUUUAUCGCCUUUGGAUGGGCCCGCGUUGGAUUAGCUAGUUGGUAGGGUAAAAGCCUACCAAGGCGACGAUCCAUAGCUGGUCUGAGAGGAUGAUCAGCCACACUGGGACUGAGACACGGCCCAGACUCCUACGGGAGGCAGCAGUGGGGAAUAUUGGACAAUGGGCGAAAGCCUGAUCCAGCAAUGCCGCGUGAGUGAUGAAGGCCUUAGGGUUGUAAAGCUCUUUUACCCGGGAUGAUAAUGGCAGUACCGGGAGAAUAAGCUCCGGCUAACUCCGUG
RNAcentral lists this ribosomal RNA (433 nucleotides) under uncultured bacterium. RNAcentral's name for it is "partial 16S ribosomal RNA". It matches the Rfam family "Bacterial small subunit ribosomal RNA", at positions 29 to 507 of the family's 1533-position model. The record is from RNAcentral.